RNAcentral lists this ribosomal RNA (2930 nucleotides) under Silene undulata. Its description in RNAcentral is "bacterial LSU rRNA". It matches the Rfam family "Bacterial large subunit ribosomal RNA". Lineage: Eukaryota; Viridiplantae; Streptophyta; Magnoliopsida; Caryophyllales; Caryophyllaceae. The record is from RNAcentral.
CCCCGUCAGUAGCGGCGAGCGAGAGCGGAUUAGGACUUCCCAGAAAAGAAAGAGAGGAAGAUCGAAGCAAAAAAGAAAGUAAGUAAAUAAAAGAAAGAAGAAGCGAAGCGAAGAAAAAACCUUACCUAAGUAGUCAAGUGUUCACUGCUUUUUUCACAAGGUUUCAUUCUAUUUGUGCAUUGAACUUGAAUUGGAUGAUGGAAAAACCAUCAAGCCAAGCAAGAGCUAACAAGCUUUAAAGCUACUUAUGCCCUUGACUAUAUUCUAAGGGCGUAGGGAAGAGUUAUUUUGAAAAGUUUGGAAGAUCUGACCUUAGAAGGUGAGAGUCCUGUAGAAUCGUUCCCAUGUUUUGAUCUUUCGUGAGUAAAACGCGUCGUGUUCGAAUUCUGCUCGUUUUUUUCACGAGAAAGGGGGCCCACCCUCUAAGCCUAAUUAUUCCUCAAUGACCGAUAGUGUACAAGUACCGUGAGGGAAAGGUGAAAAGAACCCUAGUUAGGGAGUGAAAUAGAGAACCUGAGAUCCGAUGCGAACAAUCAGUCGAAGGAACAGAAAAGAGAGCCUUUACUUCUAACUUUUAAAGGUACCUUGUUCUAACGGCGUACCUUUUGCAUGAUGGGUCAGCGAGUAAAUAGUCUGAGCGGCUUAAGCUAUUAGGCGUAGGCGCUUUCGAUAGGUGUUCAAUCUUCUCGUUCUUGCUAUUUGACCCGAAACCGGUCGAUCUAGCCAUAAGCAAGUUGAAGAGAGCUCUAACCGGCCUUGGAGGACUGCACUCACGUAUGUGGCAAAAUACGGAGAUGACUCGUGGCUAGGGGUGAAAGGCCAAUCAAGAUCGGAUAUAGCUGGUUUUCCGCGAAAUCUAUUUCAGUAGAGCGUAUAAGAGAAGGGCCUGAGGUAGAGCACUCAAUGAGAUAGGGUGGUUUACGCCUUACCAACCUCAGGGAAACUACGAAUACAGGCCUACUUCCUUUGUACAGACAGACUUUUUGGGUGAGAAGAUCCAAAGUCGAGAGGGAAAGAGCCCAGAUCGUACGCUAAGGUCCCCAAGCAAUUACUUAGUGGAAAAGGAAGUCAUUGAGCGAUGACAACCAGGAUGUGGGCUUAGAAGCAGCCAUCCUUUGAAGAAAGCGUAAUAGCUCACUGGUCUAGCUCCGUGGCACCGAAAAUGUAUCGGGGCUGAAGUUAUUCACCGAAGCGACGAGACAAAGAAAAAGCAAGCCUUUUUCAGUGUCAGUAGCGGGACGUUCUGUCAAUCAGAGAAGGUUUCUGGUAACAAGGCCUGGAGAUAUCAGAAGUGAGAAUGCUGACAUGAGUAACGAAAAAUCAUGUGAAAAACAUGAUCGCCUGCCAGUGUAAGGCUUUCCGCGUUCAGUGAAUCUGCGCAGAGUGAAUCGGUCCCUAAGGAAAGCAAGCAAGCUAGCGCCCGAAAGGCAAUUCCGAUGGGUCCACGAAAGUGACGAAGUUGCUUUGACUAAAGAACCGGGCCUAUUCAUAAUUAAGACAGGUAUAGCAAAUUGGAUGAUGUACUUUCCUAAAUGAACCUUGAGUCAUCAAAGCCUUUCUGACUUGGCUUAAGCAAGCAAGUAAGCAAGUAGGCGUUUAUGCUUCCAGGAAAAAACUUCGAGUUGAGAGGUUGAUCCUCUCGUUGAGCUGACCGUACCCCAAACCGACACAGGUACAUAAGUAGAGUAUACUAGGGCGUUUGGGAGAACCAUGUCGAAGGAACUCGGCAAACUGACCCCGUAACUUCGGGAGAAGGGGUGCUCUUUGAAUUGAUUCUUUCUGAGAGCGUCACAUACCAGGGGGUAGCGACUGUUUCUUAAAAACACAGGACUCUGCUAAGUGGUAGCAUGCUGUAUAGAGUCUGACACCUGCCCGGUGCUGGAAGGUGAUAAUUGAUUGGUCGUCUUAGCUUCUCUUUCUAAUCCCCAGUAAACGGCGGCAGUAACUCUAACUGUCCUAAGGUAGCGAAAUUCCUUGUCGGGUAAGUUCCGACCUGCACGAAUGGCGUAACGAUGGCCACACUGUCUCCUCCCGAGACUCAGCGAAGUUGAAGUGUUUGUGAUGAUGCAAUCUCCCCGCGGCUAGACGGAAAGACCCCAUGAACCUUUACUGUAGCUUUGCAUUGGACUUUGAACCGAUCUGUGUAGGAUAGGUGGGAGGCUUUGAAGCGUGGACGCUAGUUCACGUGGAGCCGUCCUUGAAAUACCACCCUGGUUUGUUUGAGGUUCUAACCUUGGCCCGUGAAUCCGGGUCGGGGACAGUGCAUGGUAGGCAGUUUGACUGGGGCGGUCUCCUCCCAAAGUGUAACGGAGGAGUUCGAAGGUACGCUUGGUACGGUCGGACAUCGUACCUAAAGUGCAAUGGCAAAAGCGUGCUUAACUGCGAGACCGACAAGUCGAGCAGGUGCGAAAGCAGGACAUAGUGAUCCGGUGGUUCUGAAUGGAAGGGCCAUCGCUCAACGGAUAAAAGGUACUCUGGGGAUAACAGGCUGAUACCGCCCAAGAGUUCAUAUCGACGGCGGUGUUUGGCACCUCGAUGUCGGCUCAUCUCAUCCUGGGGCUGUAGCCGGUCCCAAGGGUAUGGCUGUUCGCCAUUUAAAGAGGUACGUGAGCUGGGUUUAAAACGUCGUGAGACAGUUUGGUCCCUAUCUGCCGUGGGCGUUGGAAUCUUGACGGGGGCUGCUCCUAGUACGAGAGGACCGGAGUGGACGUACCGCUGGUGUACCUGUUGUCUCGCCAGAGGCAUCGCAGGGUAGCUAUGUACGGAAGAGAUAACCGCUGAAAGCAUCUAAGCGGGAAACUCGCCUGAAGAUGAGGAUUCCCUGGAGGCUUGACCUCCUUGAAGGGUCGUUCGAGACCAGGACGUUGAUAGGCUGGGUGUGGAAGCGCAGUAAUGCGUUAAGCUAACCAGUACUAAUUGCCCGUGCGAGA